This 460-nucleotide ribosomal RNA is filed under the name uncultured bacterium. RNAcentral's name for it is "partial 16S ribosomal RNA". It matches the Rfam family "Bacterial small subunit ribosomal RNA", at positions 338 to 795 of the family's 1533-position model. The record is from RNAcentral.
CCUACGGGAGGCAGCAGUGAGGAAUAUUGGUCAAUGGGCGCGAGCCUGAACCAGCCAAGUCGCGUGAGGGAAGACUGCCCUAUGGGUUGUAAACCUCUUUUGUCAGGGAGCAACGCCGGCUACGUGUAGCCGGACUGAGAGUACCUGAAGAAAAAGCAUCGGCUAACUCCGUGCCAGCAGCCGCGGUAAUACGGAGGAUGCGAGCGUUAUCCGGAUUUAUUGGGUUUAAAGGGUGCGUAGGCGGAAUGCCAAGUCAGCGGUAAAAUCGCGGGGCUAAACCUCGGCGAGCCGUUGACACUGGCUGUCUUGAGAUGUCGAGAGGUAUGCGGAAUGCGCAGUGUAGCGGUGAAAUGCUUAGAUAUUGCGCAGAACUCCGAUUGCGAAGGCAGCAUACCGGCGGCGAUCUGACGCUGAGGCACGAAAGCGUGGGUAUCGAACAGGAUUAGAUACCCCAGUAGUC